GGGUUGUGAGGUUAAGCGACUAAGCGUACACGGUGGAUGCCCUGGCAGUCAGAGGCGAUGAAGGACGUGCUAAUCUGCGAUAAGCGUCGGUAAGGUGAUAUGAACCGUUAUAACCGGCGAUUUCCGAAUGGGGAAACCCAGUGUGAUUCGUCACACUAUCAUUAACUGAAUCCAUAGGUUAAUGAGGCGAACCGGGGGAACUGAAACAUCUAAGUACCCCGAGGAAAAGAAAUCAACCGAGAUUCCCCCAGUAGCGGCGAGCGAACGGGGAGCAGCCCAGAGCCUGAAUCAGUGUGUGUGUUAGUGGAAGCGUCUGGAAAGGCGCGCGAUACAGGGUGACAGCCCCGUACACAAAAAUGCACAUACUGUGAGCUCGAUGAGUAGGGCGGGACACGUGGUAUCCUGUCUGAAUAUGGGGGGACCAUCCUCCAAGGCUAAAUACUCCUGACUGACCGAUAGUGAACCAGUACCGUGAGGGAAAGGCGAAAAGAAC
Molecule: ribosomal RNA, 493 nt
Filed under: Escherichia coli
Lineage: Bacteria; Pseudomonadati; Pseudomonadota; Gammaproteobacteria; Enterobacterales; Enterobacteriaceae
Description: partial 23S ribosomal RNA
Rfam family: Bacterial large subunit ribosomal RNA
Source: RNAcentral